This 323-nucleotide long non-coding RNA is filed under the name Zea mays. RNAcentral describes it as "long non-coding RNA (ZMAY_LNC003667)". The record is from RNAcentral. Lineage: Eukaryota; Viridiplantae; Streptophyta; Magnoliopsida; Poales; Poaceae.
GGGGAGGCUGGCGGCGAAGUCGUCGUAGCCGAGCACGGGCUUGCCCACCUGCUCCACCACCACCAUCUUCUUCUUCUCGUCGAUCCUGUAGAUGAUGAAGCGGUGCGUCCUCUUGGCCUUGAGCUCCAGGAACCGGCGCUUGCAGUCGUCGUCCACGGCCAUCCCUGACGCCGCGUUUGCCUGCAGAACCCGGGGGAGAGGAGGCGAAACAAGAUUCAGAGGCAGUGGAGACGAAGACGAGGGAGGUGAAGAAGAAGAGCAUGGCAGAUCCGUCGAUCGAGCAAACGAAAAUGCAGAUCGCAUAGCCGAUGAACAGGACUGGA